This 465-nucleotide ribosomal RNA is filed under the name Vreelandella stevensii. RNAcentral's name for it is "partial 16S ribosomal RNA". It matches the Rfam family "Bacterial small subunit ribosomal RNA", at positions 338 to 795 of the family's 1533-position model. The record is from RNAcentral. Lineage: Bacteria; Pseudomonadati; Pseudomonadota; Gammaproteobacteria; Oceanospirillales; Halomonadaceae.
CCUACGGGUGGCAGCAGUGGGGAAUAUUGGACAAUGGGCGAAAGCCUGAUCCAGCCAUGCCGCGUGUGUGGAGAAGGCCUUCGGGUUGUAAAGCACUUUCAGUGGGGAAGAAAGCCUUGGGGCUAAUACCCUCGAGGAAGGACAUCACCCACAGAAGAAGCACCGGCUAACUCCGUGCCAGCAGCCGCGGUAAUACGGAGGGUGCGAGCGUUAAUCGGAAUUACUGGGCGUAAAGCGCGCGUAGGCGGUCUGAUAAGCCGGUUGUGAAAGCCCCGGGCUCAACCUGGGAACGGCAUCCGGAACUGUCAGGCUAGAGUGCAGGAGAGGAAGGUAGAAUUCCCGGUAUAGCGGUGAAAUGCGUAGAGAUCGGGAGGAAUACCAGUGGCGAAGGCGGCCUUCUGGACUGACACUGACGCUGAGGUGCGAAAGCGUGGGUAGCAAACAGGAUUAGAUACCCCAGUAGUC